This 484-nucleotide ribosomal RNA is filed under the name uncultured bacterium. Its description in RNAcentral is "partial 16S ribosomal RNA". It matches the Rfam family "Bacterial small subunit ribosomal RNA", at positions 30 to 507 of the family's 1533-position model. The record is from RNAcentral.
AUUGAACGCUGGCGGCAGGCCUAACACAUGCAAGUCGAGCGGAUGAAGGGAGCUUGCUCCUGGAUUCAGCGGCGGACGGGUGAGUAAGGCCGAGGAAUCUGCCCGGUAGGGGGGGAUAACGUCCGGAAACGGGCGCUAAUACCGCAUACGUCCUGAGGGGGAAAGUGGGGGAUCUCCGGACCGCACGCUAGCAGAUGAGCCUAGGUCGGAUUAGCUAGUGGGUGGGGUAAAGGCCUACCAAGGCGACGAUCCGUAACUGGUCUGAGAGGAUGAUCAGUCACACUGGAACUGAGACACGGUCCAGACUCCUACGGGAGGCAGCAGUGGGGAAUAUUGGAUAAUGGGCGAAAGCCUGAUCCAGCCCUGCCGCGUGUGUGAAGAAGGUCUUCGGAUUGUAAAGCUCUUUAAGUUGGGAGGAAGGACAGUAUGUUAAUCCCUUGCUGUUUUGACGUUACCAACAGAAUAAGCACCGGCUAACUUCGUG